ACUUGUUCUUUAAAUGAGGACUAGUAUGAAUGGCACCACGAAGGUUAUGCUGUCUCCUUUUUCUAAUCAAUGAAACUAACCCCCCCGUGAAGAGGCGGGGAUUAAAGCAUAAGACGAGAAGACCCUAUGGAGCUUUAAACUAUAUAGCACUAGCCCUACAACCCGUGUUCCAGAAAAAUAAAAGGUACCCCGGCUACUAUGACUAUCAGUUUUAGGUUGGGGUGACCGCGGAGUAUAAAAUAACCUCCACAUUGAAUGGAACCAUCCUGAGCAAAAAACCACAGCUUUAAGCACCAAUAAAUUGACAUUAAUUGACCCAGUAUUCUGAUCAACGAACCAAGUUACCCUAGGGAUAACAGCGCAAUCCACUUCAAGAGCCCCUAUCGACAAGUGG
This 394-nucleotide ribosomal RNA is filed under the name Dendropsophus decipiens. RNAcentral's name for it is "partial 16S ribosomal RNA". It matches the Rfam family "Bacterial large subunit ribosomal RNA", at positions 1967 to 2515 of the family's 2925-position model. Lineage: Eukaryota; Metazoa; Chordata; Amphibia; Anura; Hylidae. The record is from RNAcentral.